CUGCAAAAUAUAUGAAGAAUAUAUCAAAAAAAUAAAAAUAAUUUGAUUCAUAAAUUAAUAUUUUUAUGGAUAAAUUUAUGCACUUAUCACAUGUCGAUUGAGUUGACCCAGUGAAAAUUGAGUCGACCCAGCCCCAAUGAAAGAAAAAGAUAGAAAUGUUAAUUUGAAAGUCAGAAGACUUAGUCGAUCUAGAAUUCAAGUUAGUCAAUCA
This 211-nucleotide long non-coding RNA is filed under the name Elaeis guineensis (African oil palm). RNAcentral describes it as "long non-coding RNA (EGUI_LNC028584)". Lineage: Eukaryota; Viridiplantae; Streptophyta; Magnoliopsida; Arecales; Arecaceae. The record is from RNAcentral.